Small nucleolar RNA from Cornus florida, 132 nucleotides. The record is from RefSeq and is a predicted model, not a curated record. Lineage: Eukaryota; Viridiplantae; Streptophyta; Magnoliopsida; Cornales; Cornaceae.
AUCCCAGCUAAGCUAAAGAGUAUGGUGCUUAUCUGAUUCAUGGGAGGCCAAUAGAAAUUAUGUGGAAGUUUCGCUGAUAACGCCAUUAUUAUUAUCACAAAAUGGUGUAUACUAGUAGCUUUCCAUACAUUU